AGAAUCAACGCUGGCGGCGUGCCUAACACAUGCAAGUCGCACGAGAAAGGGACUUCGGUCCUGAGUAAAGUGGCGCACGGGUGAGUAACACGUGACUAAUCUACCCUCGAGUGGGGAAUAACCUAGGGAAACCUGGGCUAAUACCGCAUAACACUUACGAGUCAAAGCAGCAAUGCGCUUGGGGAGGAGGUCGCGGCAGAUUAGCUAGUUGGUGGGGUAAUGGCCCACCAAGGCGAUGAUCUGUAUCCGGCCUGAGAGGGCGCACGGACACACUGGAACUGAAACACGGUCCAGACUCCUACGGGAGGCAGCAGUGGGGAAUUUUGCGCAAUGGGGGGAACCCUGACGCAGCAACGCCGCGUGGAGGAUGAAGUCUCUUGGGACGUAAACUCCUUUCGACAGGGACGAUAAUGACGGUACCUGUAGAAGAAGCCCGGCUAACUCGCGCCAGCAGCCGC
RNAcentral lists this ribosomal RNA (458 nucleotides) under uncultured bacterium. RNAcentral's name for it is "SSU rRNA". It matches the Rfam family "Bacterial small subunit ribosomal RNA", at positions 26 to 518 of the family's 1533-position model. The record is from RNAcentral.